This 210-nucleotide unclassified non-coding RNA is filed under the name Hevea brasiliensis (rubber tree). Lineage: Eukaryota; Viridiplantae; Streptophyta; Magnoliopsida; Malpighiales; Euphorbiaceae. The record is from RNAcentral.
UUCGAUGUCAGCUUCCGAUUAAGUUGCCAUUUUGUAUUCCUGUAGGAAAUCCACCUGAUGUGGAGAGGAUGUACUUGCGUGCAACUGAAGCUGCUGUUGCCCAACUUAAAGAUUCACAUGUUGUAUUCAUGCUAGAGAGACUAAGCAAAGGGUCUUCAAACGCAACUCAACCUAUCAUUCUCCAUGGUAGAGAACUGGAUUUUAGCACGG